Stegastes partitus (bicolor damselfish) is the source of this 831-nucleotide long non-coding RNA. RefSeq lists it as uncharacterized. The transcript is spliced from 3 exons. NCBI's taxonomy places the organism in Eukaryota, Metazoa, Chordata, Actinopteri, Pomacentridae. The record is from RefSeq and is a predicted model, not a curated record.
CUUUUGCUUCAAAAAGAAGAAAACACGUCUAAAACAAGGACAAAGACGUUCAAAUGUUCAGGAAGAGGUAAGUUUGUUUCUCUCUCAUGUGUUCACUGUUGACAACACUUGGUUUAUCUGAGAAACUGAAGCCUGACAUUCAUUUUUUUCCUAUUUCAUCAAAAAAGGAAAAAGCAAAUGGAAAGGAAUUAUCAGCAUUUGUCGUCUAAAACAUGCAGCUGCAGGACAGCAGGUAGAACUUCAUCCACCUGGAUGCUGACACAUUGUCUUUGCAGUGUACUGAAGUCAAACAACAGUGAGCUGAGGGUCCUGCUCACCCACAGUCUGGAUCUUUAGCUCACAGCGACUUCACUGCACAGAACAUGAAGCCGCUCUGGAACACAACAGAUGAAGCAUUAAUUUAAAGACACACUGACUUCAUUGAUCUUCUCACAGUUGGAGGUGAACUUGAGACUGAAACUGGAUUUUAAAUGAGGACAAACUGAAGGAACAGAAGAUAAAGUGUGCUUUCCUGCAGCAUGAUGGACCAACAGCUGCCAUGAGGAGGAACAUCUUCUACAUCCAUGGUGGCUUUUUUUUUUUGUAUACUCUUCUCCCUUCAAAAGACAUUUUUAUGAUGUAAAGAACAUUUAACAUGUAAAUUAUUUAUAUAUAACUUGAGUUCAAAUUGCUUGUCACCAACAGUAACUGUGUGUAAAAUGAAUAUUGACUGUUCAGCUCCAUAUUAAUGGACUGAAACCUACAGCUCCUGUUUUGAGGAUUCCUGAUAAUCUGUGUUCCAGUGUUUGUGAAGCUGUACAGGUUGUAAAUACAAACAGAUGCAGUUCUGAA